This 392-nucleotide ribosomal RNA is filed under the name uncultured bacterium. RNAcentral's name for it is "bacterial SSU rRNA". It matches the Rfam family "Bacterial small subunit ribosomal RNA", at positions 28 to 424 of the family's 1533-position model. The record is from RNAcentral.
GACGAACGCUGGCGGCGUGCUUAACACAUGCAAGUCGAGCGGUAAGGCCCUUUCGGGGGUACACGAGCGGCGAACGGGUGAGUAACACGUGGGUGACCUGCCCUUAGCUCUGGGAUAAGCCUGGGAAACUGGGUCUAAUACCGGAUAUGACUCCAUGACGCAUGUUGUGGGGUGGAAAGCCUUGUGCGGCUAGGGAUGGGCCCGCGGCCUAUCAGCUUGUUGGUGGGGUGAUGGCCUACCAAGGCGACGACGGGUAGCCGGCCUGAGAGGGCGACCGGCCACACUGGGACUGAGACACGGCCCAGACUCCUACGGGAGGCAGCAGUGGGAAUCUUGCGCAAUGGGCGAAAGCCUGACGCAGCGACGCCGCGUGAGGGAUGACGGCCUCGGUU